CCCUUAGAUGUUCGGGGCCGCACGCGCGCUACACUGAAGGAAUCAGCACGUCUUUCUCCUUGUCCGAAAGGACUGGGUAACCCGCUGAACCUCCUUCGUGCUAGGGAUUGGGGCUUGUAAUUCUUCCCCAUGAACGAGGAAUUCCCAGUAAGCGCGAGUCAUAAGCUCGCGUUGAUUACGUCCCGGCCCUUUGUACACACCGCCCGUCGCUACUACCGAUUGGAUGGUUUAGUGAGAUCCUCGGAUUGGUCCCGGCGCGGCCUCUGGUCGUGCCGGAGUGCCGAAAAGAAUGUCGAACUUGAUCAUCUAGAGGAAGUAAAAGUCGUAACA
This 330-nucleotide ribosomal RNA is filed under the name uncultured eukaryote. RNAcentral's name for it is "partial 18S ribosomal RNA". It matches the Rfam family "Eukaryotic small subunit ribosomal RNA", at positions 1470 to 1796 of the family's 1831-position model. The record is from RNAcentral.